Molecule: long non-coding RNA, 540 nt
Organism: Rattus norvegicus (Norway rat)
Lineage: Eukaryota; Metazoa; Chordata; Mammalia; Rodentia; Muridae
Source: RefSeq, a predicted model, not a curated record
GCUCACUUACUGACCUCACAGUGGUCUCCCCAGCAUCUGCCACUCACUGAGCUUCCUAGGCAAGAGCUUGGGACACAGAAGGGAGCCUGAGAGACCCCCUUCUCUGGGAGGCAGAUGAUGAUCGACUCAGCACCAUGUAUCUGUGCUAGACCAAGGUGUAGAGAAGAGGUUGACCAGGCAUGGGGGAGGGAAGGAUUACUUUUCCUAAGCUCUGAGAGCUUGUUCUGUGCAGGAAUGCAGUCCCAGAAUGGAGCCCUGCGAGGAGAACUCUGAGCACUAGGGAGAAAACGCCAAGAAAACAAGAGUCUUGUGACGUCAGCUUCUUCAAAACACUCUGUUUUGGAAAGUGUUGGUGUGCCCCUCCCAGGUGUAGCGAGUAGGAAUGAAUGUACUUCAGCUGUUGAAACUCAUGUGUCUCUAGGAAAUCAUGUUUGUGCCGGGAGCAGCCUGUCCUUGUGACUGUACACUUCACUCAGGUGACUCGUCCUUAUCCUGAGUAAACUGUCCGAUGCUCUGGAUAAAGUUGGCUACUGCACAAGA